This is a long non-coding RNA of Phyllostomus hastatus (greater spear-nosed bat), 603 nucleotides long. RefSeq lists it as uncharacterized. The transcript has 2 exons. Lineage: Eukaryota; Metazoa; Chordata; Mammalia; Chiroptera; Phyllostomidae. The record is from RefSeq and is a predicted model, not a curated record.
AGAGCCCUUCCGUUGCUGACGUCUCUGUCGGUCCUGAAGGUCACUGGAAGAACAGGAGGAGGCGUGGCGCCUCCGUUGCACGCGGUGGCGUCAGGAGCUGGACGCCGGGACUCUUUAGAAAGCCGGAAGUGCCUUGACUGCUAGGUUAACCUUCUGUCCCAGCCUAGCUUGAGUCAGAAGGGCUUGCAGGUUUGCUUCUAGCAUAAGGACCAUUGCUGCUUCCUUCAAACAUUUGUUUUAUUAACGUGCUUUUGUUUCAGAAACUACAGAUAAGGCCCACCCUGGCUCCUGGGAGAAGCAGCUGACCUCCUGGGGCACUGGUUAGAGAUUACCGCCUGGGGACAUGUUGGAGGCAUCUGGGCGUUUUGUGUGACCAACCCCCACCCCUUGGAAACCGCUAACUCCCGAGACUAGGAAUGCUGCAGCUUCGCUCACCUAAUCCUCCCUGAAUUUCAAAGCCCUCACCCCACCUUGUUUGUCGUCCCCCACCCCCUUAUAAAAGAUCUGGCCAGGAAAGAGAAUGGAAGAUGGUUUGUUAGGGUAUGAACCCGCCAUCUUCUUGGAUCGCCGGACAUCUAAAUAAAGUGCUCAUAAAAGAUUCAA